AAAGACCUUAUGCUUUUGGAGCGGCCGAUGUCUGAUUAGCUAGUUGGUGAGGUAAAGGCUUACCAAGGCGACGAUCAGUAGUUGGUCUGAGGGGACGACAGCCACACUGGGACUGAGACACGGCCCAGACUCCUACGGGAGGCAGCCGUGGGGAAUUCUGGACAAUGGGCGCAAGCCUGAUCCAGCAAUGCCGCGUGAGUGAAGAAGGCCUUCGGGGUGUAAAGCUCUUUCAGCCGGAACGAAACGGUCACGGCUAAUACCUGUGAUCACUGACGGUACCGGAAGAAGAAGCACCGGCUAACUACGUGCCAGCAGCCGCGGUAAUACGUAGGGUGCGAGCGUUAAUCGGAAUUACUGGGCGUAAAGCGUGCGCAGGCGGUUUUGUAAGACAGAUGUGAAAUCCCCGGGCUUAACCUGGGAACU
RNAcentral lists this ribosomal RNA (423 nucleotides) under uncultured Nitrosospira sp. RNAcentral describes it as "bacterial SSU rRNA". It matches the Rfam family "Bacterial small subunit ribosomal RNA", at positions 202 to 622 of the family's 1533-position model. Lineage: Bacteria; Pseudomonadati; Pseudomonadota; Betaproteobacteria; Nitrosomonadales; Nitrosomonadaceae. The record is from RNAcentral.